Long non-coding RNA from Numida meleagris (helmeted guineafowl), 426 nucleotides. RefSeq lists it as uncharacterized. The transcript has 3 exons. The record is from RefSeq and is a predicted model, not a curated record. NCBI's taxonomy places the organism in Eukaryota, Metazoa, Chordata, Aves, Galliformes, Numididae.
CAGGCGCAGAGCUACUAAUGAGCAUGCUGGAGAGAGUGUCCGAACCAGUGCUGGCUAUAGACAAUCCACCUGUCUGCUCUCCGAUGCAGGAUUCCUUGGUCAGCUCUGGGUGUUAUGUCAAUGAGAUGCUGAGUGACUUACCUUGGCUGCUGUGCAGAGCCAGAGGGAGGACCAUUUCUAGUGCAGGAAGCCAGAUCCGAUGCUGAACCCACAUUAAACACUGGGAAUUACUUCUGACCAUUCAACCCACAGUCCUACGCUUGAGCCCAUGCCUGGUCCCAUUUCAGUUAGCGCAGACAAAGCACGAAGACAGAAAUGCAAACCUCCUUAUUUCUACUUGGAAUAAAGCAUGACUGAAAAUGCUGGGCCAUAGAUAGUAAGAUAGUAACAUAAUAGGCUAUAGAGAGUAACAUAAUCCACAGCAGU